This 723-nucleotide ribosomal RNA is filed under the name uncultured bacterium. Its description in RNAcentral is "bacterial SSU rRNA". It matches the Rfam family "Bacterial small subunit ribosomal RNA", at positions 29 to 746 of the family's 1533-position model. The record is from RNAcentral.
CAGGACGCUAGCUUUAUGCCUUAACUUGCUUUCGUCCGGUGCACGGACUUCUUUCUCUUGGCUGGUGGCCGGCGGGUGGGUGAUGUAUGUCAGCGAGCCCGCCUGCGGGGGGUAACUACCCGCAGGCGUACCUACUACCGCCCGGCCCCUACCGGGGAAACCAGGUGAUCGAACUACCUUGCACUAUUGGACCGACCGACCCCGAAUUAAUUAGCUGGUGGGUGAACUGCUCGCUCACCCGACCAUCCAUACCUGGUUGGACAGGAAGGCCGACCACCCUGGGUGUGACUGAGGCCCCGUACUCCUUCCGGAGGAAGCCGUGGGUGAUUUUGAUUAAUGGGGGAAACCCUGCUCCAUCCAUCCCGCGUGUGUGAGGAAAGACUGCCUUUUGUAUAUAACUUAUGUUAGGCAAGAAGGAACGCGGGUAGAUACCCCGCGUAACUGAUUGACCUUACACAAUAAACACCCGCUAACUACGUGCCAGCCGCCACGGUCAUACAUACGGAGGAAGCGUUCAUCACAAUUACUGACUGGACAUAAUGCGCACGCGGGUUCGGAAAUAAAGAUGUAUAAUCACACACCUUAACUUUUGGAACUGCCUGUUUAACUACCUAGCUAGAUAGAGUCAUAUGGAGGUGGGAAAUACGCGUGUAUCAAUGAAAUGACAUACAUAUACAGAGGAACGACUAUGGCUGACGCAGCCUCCUCGGAUAACAAUGAACG